GAAUCCCAGACGAUAGCGGAUGGAAAUAUUAAGCCAAAGCAGCAGCAGCGGCGAACACAGAAAAAAAGACCAAGUGCAUCAUGAGGACUUCUACCCUUCUCUUCCUCCUGACUCCCCCACCACCACCCUCUCUCCCCUUCUUCGCAACCUCCACGCAGCGUCUCCUGUCCACAGUCCAGCUCCCACUUCUAGUCACCACCCGCUCCUCACCAUGGCCCAACCCCAAGCAUGCGGCAAUAACGAAAACGGCGAGAGGCCGAAGACCCCUUACAGCGACCUCGGCCGCCGACGACGACGACGUGGAGGCUGGCGCUGGCGACGACUACGACAUGGAGGAGGACGAGGUAGAGGAGCUCGACAACAAGAAGGACUACGAUGUCGAGUACGACCGCCUCCUAGGCUCCCCCAUCUCAGUACCCGCCACUGCUGCUGCCGCCGGCGACGACUCAUCGCCGGAUGAUAUCGAGAUGGUCACCAGCGAGAGUUUCGUGUCCACCCAGGGUUGGGGUUCCGACACCGUUGUCGACUACCGCAUCAAUGAAGAGGAAUUCCACAAGAUCCGCCUCCUUCACUGUGACUUCUUCAUCCGGAAGCCUCCCGACCCCGAUCACAACGUCUAUGACUUUCGAGAGAUGUAUGUUACUCCUCCCGACACGGAUGUUUACUCGAUUCCGAAGGUCCUUGCGCCGAUGCCUCAGAAGUACAUCCGUUGCUCCAAAACUAAUUUUGGUUGCUACAACGUUAUGGAGCCACCGAUAGAUGCACCUCGAGAUCCAUUAUAUAAAACUGAGCGGGAGAUCCUGAAGGUUUUCUUAACGAAACAUUAUAGAAACAGACGACUAGGUGAUGCAGAAUUUGUUCUCGACUUUGAAGAAAUUUAUGUCAUUGACUCAAAAACUAAAUCCAUUACAAGAGCUAAAGUCUUGGUUACUGUGACAGGAGGGAGAAACAGAGAUAGGAGGAAUGAUCUUUUGAUCAUACGUGAUGGUGGAAACCUAUUCAAAAUUAUUGAUAAGAGUGAAAGGGAUGAUCCAACCACUGUCAUAGAGAGAGAAGAGUGGGCAAAGACCAGACAAGAGAUGGAGCAUCACCUUCGGAAGCUUCGAGACUUCAGUGUUUCAAAUUGGUUCUGAGAAGUUGAAGGAAAGUGGCAUCAAUUUCACAUUUCACAAAGGCCAAGCACAACUGAUUGGGAUGGCUCUACUGUGGCACACACAAGGAAUCGAUCUCUGCCACCCGUUGCAAAGGCGAGGUCAAGCAUUGAUCAGCACUCUUUGUAAGCUCAUCUUGCGUACAAAUAAGUUGGGGAUUAAAAGAAAGGAAAACAUCUCAUGAGGCAGGUCAAGCUGGGUGAUGGCAAGCAAUGCCUCGUGAAGCCAACAAAAAAAUGUUUGCCAUCGUAGAACACACUUUCUUUUGCGCCUUCAAUUAUCAAAGACAUCAGUGAUUGUCUUUCUAAUACAUUAUUUAUUUAUUUUCCUUUUGUCGGUUGCUUUAUUCUCGUUGCUUUUGUAUUGACUUGACUUGAUGAACAUUUUAGGCAAUGUAUGGUAAACAUUAUAAAGCUCUACUGAAAUGAGACAUGAUCAUGAUUAUUAA
Musa acuminata AAA Group (dessert banana) is the source of this 1599-nucleotide RNA transcript. It is a transcript of the gene named PLASTID TRANSCRIPTIONALLY ACTIVE protein 6, chloroplastic-like, with no coding region annotated. Lineage: Eukaryota; Viridiplantae; Streptophyta; Magnoliopsida; Zingiberales; Musaceae. The transcript has 8 exons. The record is from RefSeq and is a predicted model, not a curated record.